CCUUGUACACACCGCCCGUCACAUCACGAAAGUGGGUUGUACUAGAAGUAGGUAGAAUAACCGCAAGGGGUUCGCUUACCACGGUAUGAUUCAUGACUGGGGUG
This 104-nucleotide ribosomal RNA is filed under the name uncultured bacterium. Its description in RNAcentral is "partial 16S ribosomal RNA". It matches the Rfam family "Bacterial small subunit ribosomal RNA", at positions 1379 to 1482 of the family's 1533-position model. The record is from RNAcentral.